RNAcentral lists this ribosomal RNA (254 nucleotides) under uncultured bacterium. Its description in RNAcentral is "partial 16S ribosomal RNA". It matches the Rfam family "Bacterial small subunit ribosomal RNA", at positions 524 to 776 of the family's 1533-position model. The record is from RNAcentral.
UACGGGGGGGGCAAGCGUUGUUCGGAAUUACUGGGCGUAAAGGGCUCGUAGGCGGCCAACUAAGUCAGACGUGAAAUCCCUCGGCUUAACCGGGGAACUGCGUCUGAUACUGGAUGGCUUGAGUUUGGGAGAGGGAUGCGGAAUUCCAGGUGUAGCGGUGAAAUGCGUAGAUAUCUGGAGGAACACCGGUGGCGAAGGCGGCAUCCUGGGCCAGCACUGACGCUGAGUGAGCGAAAGCCAGGGGAGCAAACGGG